RNAcentral lists this long non-coding RNA (2388 nucleotides) under Homo sapiens (human). RNAcentral describes it as "HSALNT0037946". Lineage: Eukaryota; Metazoa; Chordata; Mammalia; Primates; Hominidae. The record is from RNAcentral.
CCCUACUUAUAGCCCGCGCAGCGACCCGCGUGACCCCGCCGCGCCUCGCGCCGGCCCCGAAGCCCCGCCCCCGGCAUGACGCAGCCCUCCUCGGCCCGGCGUGCCCAGCCGGGUGAGCCCGACGGUGGCGCUCAUUGGCCCGGCCCGCUUCGGCGGCCACGCCCCCAGCGGGGAGCCGGUCCACGUGGGGCGGGACAGCCCCCUCCCUGCGGCCUCGCCCUGGAGUCUCGGCACCGUCUGGCCCCGCCGGCUGAUUACAGCCAGAGAUCGAGGGGGACCUCGCUGUCCCCCUAGAGGCCGUCAUGCGGGGUUACAGAGGCUGCGACCAAAGUCAUUCCUAGCUCCUCUCUCGGGGCUCCGGAAAGCCGUCCGCGCCUCCAGCCGCACUUUCAGCGCACGCAGGACCUGCCGCGCCCGGUGGCCACACCCGUCCCUCUGCCGGGUGACGCUGCGGGAGAUCUUGCGCCCUGGGGCUCCGGAUCCAGUUCUGGCACGUUGUUGCACCUGUGACUUGUCCUUGGCCUGGCACUGUCCCUCGCCUGGGGGAAGCGGGGGGGUGGGGGGGGGAUGCUCACGUGGUCGCUUUGCUCCCGCAGUCAUGCACUUGGGUGAAAACAGACUGAAGAGUCACGGGAACCAGCUUGUCUCCCCAGUUAUGGCGCAGAGCUGCAAGGAUGGCUGUGGGUCAUUAAUUUCUCCGUGGCUGACCUGUGUUUGUAACGCCGCAGCUGUUGCGAGGGGGAAGGACACUGCUUCGGAUUCAAAUUCUGACUCCUUGCUGCAGUGUGUCACCUUGAGCCAGUCCCAGAUCUCUGCGUUCUCACAAUUGUAAAAUGUUAACAGAGGCUGCCUACCUUGUGGCUGGAAUUAAAUGAAUUAACGUGUGUGAAUGUGACUAGAAUUCAGUACAUGUUCAGGAAAAGCUGAUUUCCGCUUUGCUGUUACCGUGAAUAUUACUGUUUUAGGGUGUAGAAAAGGGUGGAAGGGGAUGUUAUUGCAUCCUGGAAGCUUAUCCUUUUGAGGUAAAGAUUGAUUUCUGGUCCCCUGCGUGGUAUAUAGUGUAGUUUUGACAUUAUUUAGAUGUGUUAUGCACAUUUGGGUGUUGAUUAUAUGGCUUACGAUCAAGACUAACCAGUCAUGCCGUGGGAGAUUAAGGUCGUGGUCUCUUGUCAGGAUUGUAGUGAGAUUUAAAAAUUCCAGCCAGAAAUACCAGGCUUAGAAUGCUCUGAAGCCCUCCCCACAUUUUUGCCAUCUCUAGCAGGAGGGCACUGCAUAGCAGAAACAAAGACGUUGUAAAUUGUUGCUGCCUGAGUCAUUUAUAGAGGCUUAAACAACCUGAAUGUCCUCUGACCUACCUGUAACAUUUGAUGGAGUUGUAUGAGUAACUUACAAAGCUGUAGGUCCCAAGGUCGGUCUGAAAAAGAAAGUUCAUAUCCGGGAGCACUGACCCCGUAGUGUAAUCCUGGCACCUUAAAACGUACUGCUCCCUCCACCUUCACUUCAAGGUUAUGAAAACAUUGAGUAAAAGGGAUGAUCUGUUCAAAGUCCUUAGUGUUCUGCCAAUUUAAAACAGUAAUUUUCAAAGCAGUUAUUUGCAAGGAAAUUGCCUAGAACUUCUCCCAGUGUGCGGUUGUUUUGUGUGUUUGUGUGUGUGUUUUGUUUGUUUGUUUUCAGUCUGUCCACAGGCGUACUUUUAUAGGUCUGUGAUAGUAGGUAGCUCUUCAAGUUGGCAAACACCUGCUGGACAACCCCUGAGAGAUUCAUCUGAGUGAGAGAGCACUCUCCAGCCCCAUCGGAGUGGGUUUGCAGGGAAAUCAUAAGGAAGAAAUCCUUAUCUUUCCAACACUGAGAUGCUUCUGCCGAAGAGUAGAAUGGGAGUGAGGGGACACGCAAAACGGGCUGCUGCCGGAGGAAGAGGAACAGUGUUGUGGCUCAUGCCAUAUGAAUGGGCUCACUGGCCUGGCCCAGACCCUGACUGCCCACAGGAUCUUUGACAGAGAAACGGAGGCACAGAGAAGGAAGCGGCAGUUAAAGCUGCGAAGAACCUAACAAAUUUCAAGAUUGUAAGUGCCUUUUCCCAGGAUGCCAGCAAGUACUGAGCCUGUAUUUUGAGCUGCAUCAAACCCUGUUGGAAUAAAAAAGGACAUUUCUAGGAGAUCAGUCUUCGAGAUUGGCCCCAGUUUCCCCAGAGUAGGAAGAGGCAGGAAGCCAGAGCACAUGUUCUCUCCAGAAAUAAAGUUGUUGCAGUGGCCUAACCGUGUCUUAGAGUUACUGAAAACUCUGUUCUCUUGAGAUUUCUCAAGAAAGGAAACCUAUCUUGCAAGACAAAACCCACCUGUAGUCAAUUCCUACAGGAAAUAAAUUCAAAAUAAUGUUUCAGGCAAGGGC